UNUGGCUCAGGAUGAACGCUGGCGGCGUGCCUAAUACAUGCAAGUCGAACGCACAGCGAAAGGUGCUUGCACCUUUCAAGUGAGUGGCGAACGGGUGAGUAACACGUGGACAACCUGCCUCAAGGCUGGGGAUAACAUUUGGAAACAGAUGCUAAUACCGAAUAAAACUUAGUGUCGCAUGACACAAAGUUAAAAGGCGCUUCGGCGUCACCUAGAGAUGGAUCCGCGGUGCAUUAGUUAGUUGGUGGGGUAAAGGCCUACCAAGACAAUGAUGCAUAGCCGAGUUGAGAGACUGAUCGGCCACAUUGGGACUGAGACACGGCCCAAACUCCUACGGGAGGCUGCAGUAGGGAAUCUUCCACAAUGGGCGAAAGCCUGAUGGAGCAACGCCGCGUGUGUGAUGAAGGCUUUCGGGUCGUAAAGCACUGUUGUAUGGGAAGAACAGCUAGAAUAGGAAAUGAUUUUAGUUUGACGGUACCAUACCAGAAAGGGACGGCUAAAUACGUGCCAGCAGCCGCGGUAAUACGUAUGUCCCGAGCGUUAUCCGGAUUUAUUGGGCGUAAAGCGAGCGCAGACGGUUUAUUAAGUCUGAUGUGAAAGCCCGGAGCUCAACUCCGGAAUGGCAUUGGAAACUGGUUAACUUGAGUGCAGUAGAGGUAAGUGGAACUCCAUGUGUAGCGGUGGAAUGCGUAGAUAUAUGGAAGAACACCAGUGGCGAAGGCGGCUUACUGGACUGCAACUGACGUGNG
Molecule: ribosomal RNA, 749 nt
Filed under: Leuconostoc mesenteroides
Lineage: Bacteria; Bacillati; Bacillota; Bacilli; Lactobacillales; Lactobacillaceae
Description: bacterial SSU rRNA
Rfam family: Bacterial small subunit ribosomal RNA
Source: RNAcentral